Molecule: long non-coding RNA, 888 nt
Filed under: Homo sapiens (human)
Lineage: Eukaryota; Metazoa; Chordata; Mammalia; Primates; Hominidae
Description: HSALNT0019839
Source: RNAcentral
AUUUUUCUGAUUUCCAAACCAAAACUAACAUGCAUCUUAUAAUUUAAUAAGAAAUGAUCACCCGAUUAUAUUCAGUCAUAUACUCACCUGAACCAAUACUCCAUCUGGAACUAGAAUACAAAAAUACUUUGAAUGGUCUGAAAGUACUAUUUGUUAAAAAUGUUCAGUACUGAAAUAUCAGUUGGAAUUUUGCCAGGUGAAUGUGAGAGCAGAAAUUCAAUAUAUGUAUAGAAUUGCCUUUCAUAAGGCAGUUAUUUUGUUUAUAAGCCAUGUAUAGUUAUUUAGAUGAUCAAGUUUAUCUGUACUAAACUUGAUCAUCUAAAUAACUGCAUGGCUGAUCAAGUUUAAUACAGAUAAACUUUAUCAUCUAAAUAACUGCAUGGCUUAUAAAGUAUACAUGUAUUUGUGUUUUAAUAAAAUGUUCAGAACACAAAUUACUGGUGGCUGAAUAUAUAAAAUACACUUUGAGAGGAAUACUAGCAAGAGCAGAUGGUGGGGACAUUGCUUUGCAAUAAAUAAGAUUAAUGUGUUUAGAGCUAUUAAGAUUGUGAAGAGAAAGGCAAGAAGUUUAGCCUAUCAAUAGGAAGCACACCAGUGCCUGAACCUGACUUGAGUUUUGAAAAAGCUCAUUUCUUAAAAACAUUCUUAGAAAAUUGGGCUUCACGGAAUAGAUAUGUUUGGAAAUCUUGGUUCACAUAUGUAUAAGGAAUAUCCAGUUUCUCCCUGUUUUCAAGAAUAGCCACUUCACAUCUUUUAGGUGGCUCUCAAAUGUCGGACAGGAGCAGUUGUUAGGGUUUUUCAAAUGUAAGUCAGAACUGUUGUUUGGAGAAAACUGAAUUUUUUCAUUUCGUAAGAUUAUAAUUUCUAGAAAUAUCUAUUAAAAGGUGG